Molecule: long non-coding RNA, 358 nt
Organism: Patella vulgata (common limpet)
Lineage: Eukaryota; Metazoa; Mollusca; Gastropoda; Patellidae
Exons: 3
Source: RefSeq, a predicted model, not a curated record
GCUAGUACUAUACUGAUAUAUAUACUUAUGUAUUGUUUUAUUUUUGAUGUCACCAAUGCUCUUGAUGAAUGUAAAGACACGUUAUUUACAUGUAAAGAAAACUAUGAACGGUGUACAAACCCACCUAGCAAUUGGAUAGACUACAUGGAGAAAGGGUGUAUGUCAACCUGUAGAUAUUGUACAACAGAAAAUGUAGCUUUAGGCAAGACUACCAAACAGAGUUCAUAUUUAGACCAGACUGGAUAUAAUUCAUCUAAUGCUGUAGAUGGUGAACUUCAGGAUAAAUAUGGAUCUUGCUCAGUUACAAAUAAUGACAUCAAAUCAUGGUGGUGUGUUAAUUUACAGAAGCCAUACAAAA